This 4265-nucleotide long non-coding RNA is filed under the name Haliotis rufescens (red abalone). RNAcentral describes it as "uncharacterized LOC124114612". The record is from RNAcentral. Lineage: Eukaryota; Metazoa; Mollusca; Gastropoda; Lepetellida; Haliotidae.
UAAGUUGUUCGGUAAGUAGCACAAAAUGGAGUACUUCCUGUACAGACUCAAGCUCCUUCCUUCCCAGGGCGUGACACCUUCGUUACACUCUCGGUAACAUAGUAUAGAGAGCUCCGCGAACGGGCUAUCACUGUGAUAAGCUUGGUACAGACUGUUUACAUUAGUUACUCAUUUUCUACCUCAUUUGCACAAAUAAUAUGGCACAAUGGUAAGACAUUUUUGUUGUCCAACUGAUUUAUGACAUAGACAUUGCAGUUGUGCAGAGUAUUUGAAUUAGAGAUAAUUUGGAAAAAUAAUUCAGAUCCAAAUGUCAACUAGUGAAGUGUCGUCUGCUAGGCUAAGCAUACCAAUGCUAUCAAAAGCCUUAAACUUCAUUUGUUGUUGAAAAUUAUAACAACUAUCUAUAUCUGCAUCAAUAUAUUCAUGUUUGCAAACAAUAUGCAAAAUAUCACCAUUCACAUGAAUUGAAAGUUUGAUGAAAACUGUAUAUACUACUUUCCAAACCACUUAUCAUACUGCCAUAGGGUCUCUAUUGACUAUGCAAAUAAGGAAGAGAUUUUAUUUUUGUCUCUAAAUUGAUUACUAAAAUAGAUUGAAAGGAUUUGAUUUGAAGAUUCUAUUUUCAUCUGAACUAUUAUGUUUGAUAUCAACCUUCAAAGGACAAGAUUUAUUUGGCAAUAUGAGCCCUAAAAUGAUUCAAAUGAAAUGUUACAUAAUUUUUAGCAAACACAUUAUUGGUUAUUGGUACAGUCUGCACUGUAAAUAUGUUAAAUAAUUGAUGUUUGUCUAUGUCAGUGGUUAAUAUUUCAUAAUUCAAUUUCAUAUUUAUUUGAGUUUUAAACUUUUGAAACAUUAUAGUUAAUAUUGUGCUAUUCCACUUCCCUUCAAUAUAUUAUUAGUAUUUUUGCAUAUUUAAAGAGAAAUAAUUAAUCCUUUCUUUCUUCAUUUUCAGUCAGGGGUUGAAUGUUUAUUCAAGCUGGUUGGCUGUUGUAAUAACCCAAAUUAGAAGCUGACAACUGUCUAAUGGUCAACAUAUCAUAUCUAUAUUUUUUAGGCUAGCAAGACCAGACAGGAUGACCUACAAUUAGUAAUUGAAAAAAAUAUAUCUUCUCCUGAUGUUAAUGAAUUAUUUUACCACAAAAACUGUGUUUCUACUUAAACAUCAAAGACUCACCUUAAAAGACUUUCAAAAUCUUGUUCAGAUAAAUGCCUGCCAGAACCAUUCAAAAAGAGAAGGCGUCGUUCAGUUUUAGGCACUGGCUUUAACUUUCUAAAACAUUGCUUAUUCUGUGGGAACCCAUGUGAAAUUGAAAAAGACUCUAGAAAUCCUGGACGGUGGAAGAGAUCUGAUGGCCAAAGAUCAUUCAAGAAUAUAAUUCUUGGGACAUGCAAUAUACGCCAGGAGUGAGUGAGUGAGUGAGUUUGAUUUUACGCCGCUUUUAGCAAUAUUCCAGCAAUAUCACGGCGGGGGGACACCAGAAAUGGGCUUCACACAUUGUACUCAUGUCGGGAAUCGAACCCGGGUCUUCGGCGUGACGAGCGAACGCUUUAACCACUAGGCUACCCGACCGCCCUAUACGCCAGGAUAAGUGGGGAGAUGAAGUAUGACUUAGAGUAGAUGGUGCCACAAUUGAUCUUCAUGCUGCAGAUGCAAGAUAUCAUGACAAAUGCAGAACAAAUUUUAUGGCCCCUAAAUCUGUACAAUGAGCUUCUUCAAAACGGAAGGCACCGAAUCAAUUUCAGACGAAUCACUCUAUUAUGUGAUCAGAUCAAUGAAUGCUGAUCGGAAACAAAUUAGAAAUUCCACAGAAGUAUACAAUCAGUACCUAGAGAGUGGAGGGGUCAUGCUUUCAAAAAGACAGUUUAUUGAAGAAAUAUGAAGGUGCUUUGCUGAUGAACUGAUUAUUCUAAGAGGAAAUGGAAUAGCUAGUAUUCUUAUUUUCCGUGAAACUGCCACAGACACCCAUAAGUUGGUUCUUGAUGAAACUGGAGAUGAUGAUUUGACUUCUUCCAUGAAGAAACUUUCAAAACAAGUAAGAAAGGAAACUAAAGAAAUACCACUCUCCAAAGAAGAAUACCAGACAAGAAUAGACUGCCAAAUUGCUGGGGAGAGUUGUAGUACUCUUGAGUAACAUUCUUCAAGGUGAAGAUCCUGUGCUACCAGUCCUGAUGAUUCGUAACAUGAUGACUGGACUUCUAAGAAAGCAACCAACACCACCACUACAGACAACUCUUGGAGUUUUCAUCAAAGCAAAUGAUCCCAUUCAAGAACUGAACAAGUUUGGCAUUGUGUGUACUUACGGUGAAGUUCUUCGAUUUAAGAAGUCAGCCGCACUUGCAACCGAUGAUGUUGCAUCUAGAGGCCUGAACUCUUCAUCACAAACAGAAACUCCCCUUGUACAAGUUGUAGUUUACAACUUUGAUGCCAAUAUUUCCAGUCAAAAUGGACUCCAAUCAACACAUGCUCUUGCUAUGCUUCUAACUCAGACACUUGAUGGCAAACACUGAUGACAAAGGUACAUUUCGUCGGAUAAAGAAAGAGGAAAUGACAGAAAGUAGAAGAUGACAUCAUACAACAACGGUACACGGGUAAAAAAAAGCCACACAUGCCCAAGGACUCCACCAUAAAGAGAGUGUUACCACUGAAAAUUUUAGCCAUGCAGGUAUUUCCACUGAAACUGACACUUGCGGCAUGGCUGCCCUCUUCAACAGAAGUGACCCAGAAGGCUACGUCACACAAGUUCGAUCAUUUGAUUGGUUGGCUUGUCGCAUAACCGGGAUGACAUGUAUGGACGAUCUCUUGUGUCAAAAUCUGAAUUAGAACAGUCCACAGUUGUUUUAAGAUAUCUUUGUCCAUCAAACGUUCAUUUUAUGUUUUAAUAUUGAAAAAACAACAACGAAAAGUCACAAAUAUCCAGCUUAUUUACAAGGUUGAUGCAGGGAGUUUUUCUUCAGGUUCAUCAUGACGGGCACCAAAACUCAGAAUGUCGACGCACAACAAACUGGCGUGCAGAAACGUAUAUGUGUCCAGUGCUGACAUGUAGGGUGGGUACAUUGUGCCCAGGUUGUAAUGAUCAGUGAGAUAUGAGCUCGAACCUCAUCGGGUACAGAUUGGUUACAUUUGCAGCAGAGUUCGUCAUCUUUUGUCACAUCACUAUCGUACAAAUCAAAACUAUCGUCUUGAUGCACAGUGACAGUAGUUUUUUUAAAGAUUUACUUGGUUUAGGUGCUUGCUUUCUUUUUAUGGGUGCCGAUUUCACAGUCUGGUGGGAAAUAAUUUUAUUCAGAAUGACGUCUUCGGUGAUGGCCUUGCCCCCGACAACAUCGCUCAAAACGUUUCUCUUUUUAGUAGGCACAUUUUCUUGAAAAGUACAGUCGUCUUUAAAGAAUCCUGCUACAUCACUGCCCUCAGUAGGUGACAUCCUUGUCUCCAUCUGGCACAUUUGAAUCAAUAACCCCAGUAUCAGGUGAAGCAAACGUUCAGUCGACUAAAAAACUGUUGAAGGCGCAAAGUUGAUAUUGGCGGUGGUAGACUUGCCAAAUGGGGAGACUCCACAUUUCCUGAAAGAGGACUGCAGAUUGGUUGGUGUCAGCGACAGGUUAUAAGCUCUACAGCCAAGUUCACUAACAGAAUGUUUAUCUACUGAACUUGUAGCAUUUUCCCGCAUAUAUGUAUGACGGAGGUUGCUGUAAAUUUUAGCAAAAGGUCCAAAGCAACCAACAUCCAUUGGCUGUAAAACAUGGGACGUGUGUGCAGGCAGUACAAACAAAAUAAUGUGGUGCUGACACGCCCAUUCGAUCAGUGGAAUAGAUACGUGGGAUCUAUGACCAUCGUACACAAUAAGAAGUGGACUAUCUGUAGACGCGGCGACAGCAUGCUUCAGGAAAUGCUCUGUCAGCUGAAAAAUCUCCGUGUUUGACCAACCAGUCGCUAACAGUGCCUGCUGCGCCGGCUGUGAAAGUUAACUUGAACUUGAUACUUGAACAAAUAUUCGCCGCCGCCCGCGCCUUUUGACUUCUUUCCAACAUAUAUUGCUAGGUCUGUGGCAAUAGUAGUAACUUCAGCCCUAGUAUAGCCAUACCCAAAAUUUGCCAUGGUGUCAAUAUGUGAAACAAGUCCCUGUUCUUGGUGAUCAGACACGUGAAUAACAUUUUUUUAACAUAUGUGACCCAUGUAAUGCGACCAGCAUCAUCUAGAGACUUCAACAUUAUAUAACAUUGGGUAUCUGGUACUAGGUAAAUAUAAUAAAUGUAACCAAAAUUUA